AAGAGUUAGGUAAAUCCGGCUCUUUCUAAGGCUGAGACACGACGUCGAGCACCUACGGGUGUGAAGUCAUUGAUGCCAUGCUUCCAGGAAAAGCCUCUAAGCUUCAGAUUGUAAGGAAUCGUACCCCAAACCGACACAGGUGGUCGGGUAGAGAAUACCAAGGCGCUUGAGAGAACUCGGGUGAAGGAACUAGGCAAAAUGGUACCGUAACUUCGGGAGAAGGUACGCUCUUGAUGGUGAAGUCCCUCGCGGAUGGAG
RNAcentral lists this ribosomal RNA (258 nucleotides) under Vibrio parahaemolyticus. RNAcentral's name for it is "partial 23S ribosomal RNA". It matches the Rfam family "Bacterial large subunit ribosomal RNA", at positions 1527 to 1781 of the family's 2925-position model. Lineage: Bacteria; Pseudomonadati; Pseudomonadota; Gammaproteobacteria; Vibrionales; Vibrionaceae. The record is from RNAcentral.